UCCAUCGUGUUGUAGACAGUUUUUGUGAUCAUUUCUCGAAAUGCACUGAAUCCAUUGUCAGGGAAAACUAUGUCUUGGUGUAUGAAGUAGUUCCACCAUUUUUUUCGUUAAAUCUCUCCAUUGUGUUGUAGACAGUUUUUGUGAUUAUUUCUCUAAAUGCACUGAAUCCAUUGUCAGAGAAAAUUAUGUUCUGGUGUAUGAAGUAGUUCCACAAUUUUUGUCAAUGAAUUUUAAUUUCUCCACCGUGUUGUAGACAGUUUUUGUGAUCAUUUCUCGAAAUGCACUGAAUCCAUUG
Bemisia tabaci is the source of this 295-nucleotide non-coding RNA. Lineage: Eukaryota; Metazoa; Arthropoda; Insecta; Hemiptera; Aleyrodidae. The record is from RefSeq and is a predicted model, not a curated record.